Panicum virgatum (switchgrass) is the source of this 281-nucleotide long non-coding RNA. RefSeq lists it as uncharacterized. The record is from RefSeq and is a predicted model, not a curated record. NCBI's taxonomy places the organism in Eukaryota, Viridiplantae, Streptophyta, Magnoliopsida, Poales, Poaceae. The transcript has 3 exons.
CUAUAGCAAUGCCCUUGAUUGCCUAAAUGCUGCACACGUUGAAUGGCAACCAUACAAUCACAUGGAGGUGCAAAACAUGAAUCUUAGUCCGCAAUGCAUGAGGGAUAAUGAAUACUGGCGCUCAGUUUGCCCUCUUAUUUGCUAUUACAUUGUUGAGUACCACCUUCCAAAUCGGGUGAUGCGCCAAUUUGGAAUACUUCAGUCUUGUCCGCCUGAGUAUAUUAAUACUAGCCAUGAGUUGCACGGAACUGAUCGACGGAAGCAGCGGGGUGCCAAAAACU